GCGGGUGAGUAACACGUGAGUAACCUGCCCUUAACUCUGGGAUAAGCCUGGGAAACUGGGUCUAAUACCGGAUAUGACUCCUCAUCGCAUGGUGGGGGGUGGAAAGCUUUUUGUGGUUUUGGAUGGACUCGCGGCCUAUCAGCUUGUUGGUGAGGUAAUGGCUCACCAAGGCGACGACGGGUAGCCGGCCUGAGAGGGUGACCGGCCACACUGGGACUGAGACACGGCCCAGACUCCUACGGGAGGCAGCAGUGGGGAAUAUUGCACAAUGGGCGAAAGCCUGAUGCAGCGACGCCGCGUGAGGGAUGACGGCCUUCGGGUUGUAAACCUCUUUCAGUAGGGAAGAAGCGAAAGUGACGGUACCUGCAGAAGAAGCGCCGGCUAACUACGUGCCAGCAGCCGCGGUAAUACGUAGGGCGCAAGCGUUAUCCGGAAUUAUUGGGCGUAAAGAGCUCGUAGGCGGUUUGUCGCGUCUGCCGUGAAAGUCCGGGGCUCAACUCCGGAUCUGCGGUGGGUACGGGCAGACUAGAGUGAUGUAGGGGAGACUGGAAUUCCUGGUGUAGCGGUGAAAUGCGCAGA
RNAcentral lists this ribosomal RNA (579 nucleotides) under uncultured bacterium. RNAcentral's name for it is "bacterial SSU rRNA". It matches the Rfam family "Bacterial small subunit ribosomal RNA", at positions 100 to 694 of the family's 1533-position model. The record is from RNAcentral.